GGAGUAGGAUGUCGUGCGUUAAGUACCGGUUGGAUGGGAGGUUGCCGCCGGGCGAAGGGUGAUCCCGCGAUACGACAGCCGCAACCGCCUG
This 91-nucleotide non-coding RNA is filed under the name uncultured Faecousia sp. RNAcentral describes it as "THF riboswitch". It matches the Rfam family "THF (Tetrahydrofolate) riboswitch aptamer". From Rfam's summary of the family: THF riboswitch presents a pseudoknot that joins P1-P2 and the loop of P3 and two THF binding. Lineage: Bacteria; Bacillati; Bacillota; Clostridia; Eubacteriales; Oscillospiraceae. The record is from RNAcentral.